Molecule: ribosomal RNA, 253 nt
Filed under: uncultured bacterium
Lineage: Bacteria
Description: partial 16S ribosomal RNA
Rfam family: Bacterial small subunit ribosomal RNA
Source: RNAcentral
GACAGAGGCCCCGAGCGUUAGUCGGAAUUACUGGGCUUAAAGGGUGCGUAGGCGGGCGUGUAAGUGUCUUGUGAAAGCCCUGGGCUCAACCCAGGAACCGCAUGGCAUACUGCACGUCUCGAAGAAGCUAGAGGCCGGUGGAACGAUCGGUGGAGCGGUGGAAUGCGUAGAGAUCGAUCGGAACGCCAAGGGUGAAGACAACCGGCUGGGGCUUUCUUGACGCUGAGGCACGAAAGCGUGGGGAUCAAACAGG